UGGGUAUGCUCAGAGCAGGUGGCCUGAAGAAUGGCUUCUCUGUUUACAGCACACUGAACAGGAAUUUAGGGUCACUGUGACAAGGAGCACAAGAGGACUUCUUUUUGAGCAGAUGUCCCACACAU
This is a small nucleolar RNA of Octodon degus (degu), 125 nucleotides long. The record is from Ensembl. Lineage: Eukaryota; Metazoa; Chordata; Mammalia; Rodentia; Octodontidae.